Molecule: ribosomal RNA, 327 nt
Filed under: uncultured bacterium
Lineage: Bacteria
Description: bacterial SSU rRNA
Rfam family: Bacterial small subunit ribosomal RNA
Source: RNAcentral
AGUGUAGAUUCAGAGUUGAUCCUGGCUCAGGACGAACGCUGGCGGCGUGCUUAACACAUGCAAGUCAAGGGGGCUCCGCAAGGGGCAACCGGCGAACGGGUGCGUAACACGUGAGCAACCUGCCUUCGAGUGGGGGAUAGCCGGCCCAACGGCCGGGUAAUACCGCAUACGCUCCUUUGGUGGCAUCACCGGGGGAGGAAACGUUUACGGCUCGGAGAGGGGCUCGCGGCCUAUCAGCUAGUUGGUGCGGUCACGGCGUACCAAGGCGACGACGGGUAGCUGGUCUGAGAGGAUGGCCAGCCACAUUGGGACUGAGAAACGGCCCAG